RNAcentral lists this ribosomal RNA (253 nucleotides) under uncultured bacterium. RNAcentral describes it as "partial 16S ribosomal RNA". It matches the Rfam family "Bacterial small subunit ribosomal RNA", at positions 524 to 776 of the family's 1533-position model. The record is from RNAcentral.
UACGUAGGGGGCAAGCGUUGUCCGGAAUCAUUGGGCGUAAAGCGCGUGUAGGCGGCCCGGUAAGUCCGAUGUGAAAGCCCACGGCUCAACCGUGGAGGGUCAUUGGAAACUGGGGGACUUGAGUGCAGGAGAGAAGAGUGGAAUUCCACGUGUAGCGGUGAAAUGCGUAGAGAUGUGGAGGAACACCAGUGGCGAAGGCGACUCUUUGGCCUGUAACUGACGCUGAGGCGCGAAAGCGUGGGGAGCAAACAGG